This 305-nucleotide ribosomal RNA is filed under the name uncultured bacterium. RNAcentral's name for it is "partial 16S ribosomal RNA". It matches the Rfam family "Bacterial small subunit ribosomal RNA", at positions 508 to 807 of the family's 1533-position model. The record is from RNAcentral.
ACAGCAGCCGCCACGGUAAUACGUAGGGUGCAAGCGUUAAUCGGAAUUACUGGGCGUAAAGCGUGCGCAGGCGGUGAGUUAAGUCUGCUGUGAAAUCCCCGGGCUCAACCUGGGAAUGGCAGUGGAUACUGGCUCGCUAGAGUGUGUCAGAGGAUGGUGGAAUUCCCGGUGUAGCGGUGAAAUGCGUAGAGAUCGGGAGGAACAUCAGUGGCGAAGGCGGCCAUCUGGGACAACACUGACGCUGAGGCACGAAAGCGUGGGGAGCAAACAGGAUUAGAUACCCGCGUAGUCCCUGUCUCUUAUAC